ACUCUGUAAAGAUAUAGCCAUUCAUACCUAUAUAUCUGCACUCAGUAAGUUUUGUUCCCAUAUGUCAUUUAGUUAUUAUGAAUGAAAAUGCAUUACCUGAGGAAAUCGUACGUUUCUGUCUUGCGUUUUCUGGCUUCCCCCAACUCUCCCUCCAUUGACAGAAGAUUCCAUUUCAGUACCAUUGACUGUAUCAAGUUCCAGUAAAAACGGCAUCCUCCUCUUUUUCAGAGAAUCCAAGGUGAUUGUCCCCCAAAAAAUGGUCCAUUCCAGACUAUCGACUGUCCCCAUUCGAAUCUAAAACACAGCCAACAGACUAUGCAUGGACUAGUGAAUACUGGGCCAGUGCUCAAAUCAGAUGGCAUCAGCAGCUGCAAACUCAGAUCUAUCCUUGCCCUUCCUGAGGCUUGACUUUCAUUACUGGGCCCCCCACCACGAGCCAACACAUGGCCAUGAGCGCAUACCAACUCAGUGCACAACCUCUGAGCAACCACUUGGAAACAAUCAAGAGAAAACAUAUGACCAAGCAGAGCUCUCCAACAACAUUUGGAAAUGGUCUAAGACACAAGGUAAAACCUCUCCUUUGACUGUCUAUAAACAAAGAUUAGAUUGCAAAAGCACAACACUUAGAGAACAGCAUAUGAUAGACAUACAUUUACAGUCAUGUUAAAAUCCUCAUUAAGUGAGCAGGUAUACCUAAUAUGAAAAUGAAGCAUGACAGUAAAUGUGGCAGGAAACAGAUAAGUUCUUGGCCUGCGGUCAUUCAUUUUCAUUUUUAAAUCACCUCUGACUAAAACAUGUGGUGGCUCCCAUCCCAUUGCGACAUCUUACAUCUGGUGGGCUAAGCAGGAUAAGCCAAGUCAAGCCCACGGCGGUCUUCCAUGAACCUAUUGUUUGUGACCGUCCCAUCUGCUCAGAUUCACCAGUAUCAAGCGCGGGAGCAGAAGAGUGGGCAUCUGCAGGGACCCCCGCUGUAAACAUCACAGAAGGGAUGCUUCAUUUGAGGCACUGACUCAAUACCCCUCUUCAACCAAAAAUGAAUUGCGCCUCAGAAAAUGGAGAUUUAAUUUUCUCAUGAUAAGAAAAAAAAUGUGCUUGCCAACUGGCUUCUUCUUUCUUCCAUCUUUUGAGUAACCCAUAUUUAAAGUAAUAUUUACAGUCAGUUGCUUGUUGUAUGAUGGGAAUCUCCAUACAUACUGCAGAUCCAAUUGUUUUUAAGUUACUAAAACAUUUUCAGAUUCAAUAAACUUAUUUAAAUAGAUCUGUUUUGUUUCCCA
This is a long non-coding RNA of Cyprinus carpio (common carp), 1274 nucleotides long. Lineage: Eukaryota; Metazoa; Chordata; Actinopteri; Cypriniformes; Cyprinidae. The record is from Ensembl.